AACGAACGCUGGCGGCAGGCCUAACACAUGCAAGUCGAACGCAUCCCUCGGGGUGAGUGGCAGACGGGUGAGUAACGCGUGGGAACCUACCUUUGGGUCUGGAAUAACUGAGGGAAACUUCAGCUAAUACCGGAUAGUCCCGUAAGGGUAAAGAUUUAUCGCCUGAAGAUGGGCCCGCGCAGGAUUAGCUAGUUGGUGGGGUAAUGGCCUACCAAGGCGACGAUCUGUAGCGGGUCUGAGAGGAUGAUCCGCCACACUGGGACUGAGACACGGCCCAGACUCCUACGGGAGGCAGCAGUGGGGAAUUUUGGACAAUGGGCGCAAGCCUGAUCCAGCCAUGCCGCGUGCGGGACGAAGGCCUCGGUUGUAACGCGUUCUAGCCGGAAGAAAUACGCCAAGGC
Molecule: ribosomal RNA, 401 nt
Filed under: uncultured bacterium
Lineage: Bacteria
Description: bacterial SSU rRNA
Rfam family: Bacterial small subunit ribosomal RNA
Source: RNAcentral